GAGAGCCAACGUCCUGUCGCCACUUAGUGUCCCAGAGUGCAGUGUCGCUUCGUCUGAGAUGUCACUCGCGACAAGGCAGCAGUCACGGCGGGUGCUCCUAAUUUUGGUCGCGUUUACCUCUGUCGCCUCUGCGGUCACCUUGGAGCAAACGCCGUCCGUCACCAGACCGAGGGGGAAGAGCAUGGCGAGGCUGCACUGCAGGCUUACCGGCGUCAGUCAGGACACGGUGGUGGUCCACUGGUACCGAGAAACGGGAGGCGAACUGAAGAGGGUCCUCCGUCACUCCUCCAAACAGCGCGCCACGUAUGACAGCGGCUUUAGCGAAUACAAAUACCUGGCCGAGCACGGGGGUCUCCUCUUCACCCUCACGAUCAACGACAUCGACGACGAGGACGCGGCUCGCUAUUACUGUGCGGUGUGGGACGCACGGCGAGUGACAAAAGGGAAUCGCGCGACUCAAAGGUGGUCGCCUUCACGAGCUGCAAUGGUUCAUAAGAGAGGGACCAAGGCAGAGACCCCUAAAGAAGAGCCCACCCGCUUAAAGGUGACGUCCGCACACUCUCCUCACAACACCCCAGUCGACGCCUGGUAA
Molecule: non-coding RNA, 592 nt
Organism: Erpetoichthys calabaricus (reedfish)
Lineage: Eukaryota; Metazoa; Chordata; Cladistia; Polypteriformes; Polypteridae
Source: the annotation of a RefSeq genome assembly